UAGGGAAUCUUCCACAAUGGACGCAAGUCUGAUGGAGCAACGCCGCGUGAGUGAAGAAGGUUUUCGGAUCGUAAAGCUCUGUUGUUGGUGAAGAAGGAUAGAGGCAGUAACUGGUCUUUAUUUGACGGUAAUCAACCAGAAAGUCACGGCUAACUACGUGCCAGCAGCCCGGUAAUACGUAGGUGGCAAGCGUUGUCCGGAUUUAUUGGGCGUAAAGCGAGCGCAGGCGGAAUGAUAAGUCUGAUGUGAAAGCCCACGGCUCAACCGUGGAACUGCAUCGGAAACUGUCAUUCUUGAGUGCAGAAGAGGAGAGUGGAAUUCCAUGUGUAGCGGUGGAAUGCGUAGAUAUAUGGAAGAACACCAGUGGCGAAGGCGGCUCUCUGGUCUGCAACUGACGCUGAGGCUCGAAAGCAUGGGUAGCGAACAGG
RNAcentral lists this ribosomal RNA (428 nucleotides) under bacterium. RNAcentral's name for it is "partial 16S ribosomal RNA". It matches the Rfam family "Bacterial small subunit ribosomal RNA", at positions 355 to 776 of the family's 1533-position model. The record is from RNAcentral.